This 364-nucleotide ribosomal RNA is filed under the name uncultured bacterium. RNAcentral describes it as "bacterial SSU rRNA". It matches the Rfam family "Bacterial small subunit ribosomal RNA", at positions 28 to 391 of the family's 1533-position model. The record is from RNAcentral.
GACGAACGUUGGCGGCGUGCUUAAUACAUGCAAGUCAACUGAGGCACCGGUAGUAAUACUGGUGUGGAGGUGGCGCACGGGUGAGUAACACGUAGGUAAUCUGCCUUUAGGUCUGACAUAACCCCGAGAAAUCGGGGCUAAUAGCAGAUGAUGCAGCGGCUUGACAUCAAGACAGUUGUUAAAGCUUCGGCGCCUGAAGAUGAGCCUGCGUCUGAUUAGCUAGUUGGCGGAGUAACAGCCCACCAAGGCUACGAUCAGUAGCUGGUCUGAGAGGAUGAUCAGCCACACUGGAACUGAGACACGGUCCAGACUCCUACGGGAGCAGCAGUAAGAAUAUUGCUCAAUGGGAGAAAUCCUGAAGCAG